AUUGAACGCUGGCGGCAGGCCUAACACAUGCAAGUCGAGCGGAGGAAGGGAGCUUGCUCCUGGAUUCAGCGGCGGACGGGUGAGUAAUGCCUAGGAAUCUGCCUGGUAGUGGGGGAUAACGUCCGGAAACGGGCGCUAAUACCGCAUACGUCCUGAGGGAGAAAGUGGGGGAUCUUCGGACCUCACGCUAUCAGAUGAGCCUAGGUCGGAUUAGCUAGUUGGUGGGGUAAAGGCCUACCAAGGCGACGAUCCGUAACUGGUCUGAGAGGAUGAUCAGUCACACUGGAACUGAGACACGGUCCAGCCUCCUACGGGAGGCAGCAGUGGGGAAUAUUGGACAAUGGGCGAAAGCCUGAUCCAGCCAUGCCGCGUGUGUGAAGAAGGUCUUCGGAUUUUAAAGCACUUUAAGUUGGGAGGAAGGGCAGUAAGUUAAUACCUUGCUGUUUUGACGUUACCAACAGAAUAAGCACCGGCUAACUUCGUG
Molecule: ribosomal RNA, 484 nt
Filed under: uncultured bacterium
Lineage: Bacteria
Description: partial 16S ribosomal RNA
Rfam family: Bacterial small subunit ribosomal RNA
Source: RNAcentral